This 394-nucleotide long non-coding RNA is filed under the name Daucus carota (carrot). RNAcentral's name for it is "long non-coding RNA (DCAR_LNC001039)". Lineage: Eukaryota; Viridiplantae; Streptophyta; Magnoliopsida; Apiales; Apiaceae. The record is from RNAcentral.
UCAACAUGUGGGUUCUCUCUCAGGUAUCGAAUAAUAUCACUAGACAAUCUCUCCAUCAAAGGUCUUGUGCAAAUGUGUGUGCCAUCUUGGAAUUUAAAGUACAAAUCGGUCGAUACAAGUUUCAAAAAGACAACCUUACUCAACUACGUUCAAAUUAUCUAAAAGACACUACAUAUAUAUACUUUUCGAAAACAUGCUAAACACCAACUACUCCUAAAGUUCGAGUGAGGGAAAGACAACUUAGCUAAAAGUAUCUCUAUUUUUGGAUUUUUCUAAUUUUUCAUUUUUUAGGGUUUUUCAUUUUUUAAGAAUUACACUAAAGCCCUCCCCAUACCUAAAUCAUGCAUUGUCCUCAAUGUAUGCAAAAGAGAGAAUUGAAAUGAGAGAGUAAAGA